GCCAGGUUCUGAUCGGUCACCCCUCCUUCCACACCUCCCGUCCCGUCCCUUCUGCUCUGACAGCUGAGCCGCAGCCGGCGGGCAGCGGGGUGGUGAUAGCGGAGCGGCUCCAGCGAGCUGCCAUUCCAGAUGUCGGGAGCUGGCACGCAGGACUCAGAUCUACAUACCCCAGCUGCAGGCCCACUGAAGCACUGAACACCCCGUUGCCUCAGCAAACAGGUUAUAGGGCCAAGGUGGAGAAGUAAACUACACGAUGACCAGACCUUAGCCACGACAUACGCUCCCACAGUU
Non-coding RNA from Odocoileus virginianus texanus, 291 nucleotides. NCBI's taxonomy places the organism in Eukaryota, Metazoa, Chordata, Mammalia, Artiodactyla, Cervidae. The record is from RefSeq and is a predicted model, not a curated record.